GACGAACGCUGGCGGCGUGCUUAACACAUGCAAGUCGAACGGAAAGGCCCUGCUUUUGUGGGGUGCUCGAUUGGCGAACGGGUGAGUAACACGUGAGUAACCUGCCCUUGACUUUGGGAUAACUUCAGGAAACUGGUGCUAAUACCGGAUAGGAGCUCCUGCUGCAUGGUGGGGGUUGGAAAGUUUCGGCGGUUGGGGAUGUACUCGCGGCUUAUCAGCUUGUUGGUGGGGUAGUGGCUUACCAAGGCUUUGACGGGUAGCCGGCCUGAGAGGGUGACCGGCCACAUUGGGACUGAGAUACGGCCCAGACUCCAACGGGAGGCAGCAGGGGGGAAUAUUGCACAAUGGGCGGAAGCCUGAUGCAGCAACGCCGCGUGCGGGAUGACGGCCUUCGGGUUGUAAACCGCUUUCGACUGUGACGAAGCGUGAGUGACGGUAAUGGGUAAAGAAGCACCGGCUAACUACGUG
Molecule: ribosomal RNA, 468 nt
Filed under: uncultured bacterium
Lineage: Bacteria
Description: partial 16S ribosomal RNA
Rfam family: Bacterial small subunit ribosomal RNA
Source: RNAcentral